AUUGAACGCUGGCGGCAUGCUUUACACAUGCAAGUCGAACGGCAGCGCGGGCUUCGGCCUGGCGGCGAGUGGCGAACGGGUGAGUAAUACAUCGGAACGUGCCCAGUAGUGGGGGAUAGCUCGGCGAAAGCCGGAUUAAUACCGCAUACGACCUGAGGGUGAAAGCGGGGGAUCUUCGGACCUCGCGCUAUUGGAGCGGCCGAUGGCAGAUUAGCUAGUUGGUGGGGUAAAGGCCUACCAAGGCGACGAUCUGUAGCUGGUCUGAGAGGACGACCAGCCACACUGGGACUUGGACACGGCCCAGACUCCUACGGGAGGCAGCAGUGGGGAAUUUUGGACAAUGGGCGAAAGCCUGAUCCAGCAAUGCCGCGUGUGUGAUGAAGGCCUUCGGGUUGUAAAGCACUUUUGGCGGGAACGAAAAGGACUGUGCCAAUACCACGGUUCGAUGACGGUACCCGCAGAAUAAGCACCGGCUAACUACGUG
RNAcentral lists this ribosomal RNA (484 nucleotides) under uncultured bacterium. Its description in RNAcentral is "partial 16S ribosomal RNA". It matches the Rfam family "Bacterial small subunit ribosomal RNA", at positions 29 to 507 of the family's 1533-position model. The record is from RNAcentral.